Mustela erminea (ermine) is the source of this 1247-nucleotide long non-coding RNA. RefSeq lists it as uncharacterized. The record is from RefSeq and is a predicted model, not a curated record. The transcript has 3 exons. Lineage: Eukaryota; Metazoa; Chordata; Mammalia; Carnivora; Mustelidae.
CGUCCCGACGUGGAGCGCGCGCCUGCCUUUCCCGCGCGUGGGCGUGAGCGCGUGUGCCCGCGUGUGCCCUGGAGGCGCGCGGCAGCGACGGUGUCAUUCCGGGGAGCCCAGGGCGCCCGGCGGUGGACCCGGGGAGACUGCGGAGGACCAGGUGCCCGCAGCCCAACGGGAAACACGCUUUCACCAAAAAGAUGUAUUUUCCACCUUGAUUCAGCCUUUUCUGCAUGGAGCAUGCUGGACAAACCCAGCCCUGAACUGGCCAAGAUGCAGCUCUCAGAUAGCGAACCAUCUGUUGCACAUCAUGUCCUGGUCCAGCGCCCCAAGUGAGCACACCCAGCACUGACCAUUCCUGAGUGCCCAGGCCGUGGCUAGAGUGGUCAUACGCUGGCAGGGAAUCAGUUCUCUUGGGAUUUCUACACAGAAGAAUCACCUAUGACUUGAGUACUUAGCACUGCUAGUCACUGUUACAGGUCGUUUAAUCCUCAUGAGCCUUCGAAGCAGACACGACCAUGAUCCCAAGUCACAGACUAGGGAUGUGACACAUGAGAGACUUGCCCAAGGCCGGAGAGCUGCGAUCUAGGUGGCGGCCAAAAGUCAAAACCAGCACUGCGCCUCCUCGAGUUCUCGUCCUCAGCCACCUGCUAGGACAUUUCUGUAUUGAUUACAUUCAGCUCCCUUUGCCUGGGGGGCUCCGUGCGGCAAGUGUCUACCUCCAGUUCGGGUCCUGACCCCAGGGUCCCGGGACUGAGCCCUGCGUGGGCUCCCUGCUGAGCGGGGGGGGGUCUGCUUCUCUCUCUCCCUCCUUCCCCCUCCACUCCUCCCUCUCUCGUGCUCUCAAACAAAAUCUUUUAAAAAAUAAAUAAGAUUAAGUCCAUGUUUACGUCUGUUUGAAGACUGAGUAGCUGGGGUGAAACUUCGAGAACAAUGUAAAUAAUAGUGACAGCAAACAUCCUUCUCUUGUUCUUAAUUUUAACACGAAUGUCUGCGAUGUUUCCUUUCUGGAACGGUAAUGGUGAUGAUGGUUCUUCAACAGGAAAACUUUGUAACGUGAGAGUAUCAGUAAUGGCAUUGUCCUAAGACAACUAAAAAUCACUCUGUUUGGAAGAGGGAUGGAUCAUGAAACCUUACUAGUACGGACUUCUGUUCUAAGGUUUAUUCUGGUUACGCUUAUGUACAUAAAACAGCAACGGUUCUUGUUGAGGAGACACACACUAUGGCCGUAGUGUUGAAGUGGACCCAAGAGAAAC